Molecule: ribosomal RNA, 253 nt
Filed under: uncultured bacterium
Lineage: Bacteria
Description: partial 16S ribosomal RNA
Rfam family: Bacterial small subunit ribosomal RNA
Source: RNAcentral
UACAGAGGUGGCAAGCGUUGUUCGGAAUUACUGGGCGUAAAGGGCGCGUAGGCGGCCUUCUAAGUCGGACGUGAAAUCCCCAGGCUUAACUUGGGAACUGCGUCUGAUACUGGGAGGCUUGAAUGCGGGAGAGGGAUGUGGAAUUCCAGGUGUAGCGGUGAAAUGCGUAGAUAUCUGGAGGAACACCGGUGGCGAAGGCGGCAUCCUGGACCGACAUUGACGCUGAGGCGCGAAAGCUAGGGGAGCAAACGGG